RNAcentral lists this ribosomal RNA (384 nucleotides) under Craugastor podiciferus (Cerro Utyum robber frog). Its description in RNAcentral is "partial 12S ribosomal RNA". Lineage: Eukaryota; Metazoa; Chordata; Amphibia; Anura; Craugastoridae. The record is from RNAcentral.
GCCCAACCGUAAACUUUUACUUACAACCCAACCGCCAGAAAACUACGAGCCCUGCUUAAAACUCAAAGGACUUGACGGUAUCCCAUAUCCGACUAGAGGAGCCUGUCCUAUCAUCGAUAAUCCCCGCUAAACCUCACCCCUUUUAGCCAUCUCAGCCUGUAUACUUCCGUCACCAACUUACCACAUGAACGCAACUCAGUGAAUAACCUCGCCUCACCCGCACAAACGUCAGGUCAAAGUGCAGCAAAUAAWGGGGGAAGAGAUGGGCUACAUUCUCUAACAUAGAGCAUACGAAAGACUAAUAUGAAAUCUAGGUCCUGAAGGCGGAUUUAGAAGUAAGGAGAGAAAUAGAGGGCCCCCCUUAACCAGGCACUGGGAUGGGGA